RNAcentral lists this ribosomal RNA (468 nucleotides) under uncultured bacterium. Its description in RNAcentral is "partial 16S ribosomal RNA". It matches the Rfam family "Bacterial small subunit ribosomal RNA", at positions 28 to 507 of the family's 1533-position model. The record is from RNAcentral.
GACGAACGCUGGCGGCGUGCUUAACACAUGCAAGUCGAACGGAAAGGCCCUGCUUUUGUGGGGUGCUCGAGUGGCGAACGGGUGAGUAACACGUGAGUAACCUGCCCUUGACUUUGGGAUAACUUCAGGAAACUGGGGCUAAUACCGGAUAGGAGCUCCUGCUGCAUGGUGGGGGUUGGAAAGUUUCGGCGGUUGGGGAUGGACUCGCGGCUUAUCAGCUUGUUGGUGGGGGAGGGGCUUACCAAGGCUUUGACGGGUAGCCGGCCUGAGAGGGUGACCGGCCACAUUGGGACUGAGAUACGGCCCAGACUCCUACGGGAGGCAGCAGUGGGGAAUAUUGCACAAUGGGCGGAAGCCUGAUGCAGCAACGCCGCGUGCGGGAUGACGGCCUUCGGGUUGUAAACCGCUUUCGCCUGUGACGAAGCGUGAGUGACGGUAAUGGGUAAAGAAGCACCGGCUAACUACGUG